AGUCUUAUAUUCAAAAUAAUGAUUUUAAAUUGCAAAUUUAAAGGUGGAUAAACCCUAAGGCUU
RNAcentral lists this transfer RNA (63 nucleotides) under Ochthebius viridis. RNAcentral's name for it is "tRNA-Cys". Lineage: Eukaryota; Metazoa; Arthropoda; Insecta; Coleoptera; Hydraenidae. The record is from RNAcentral.